AGUGUGCAGCUGAGGUGUGAGGAUGGUGUCCUGCGGCUGGUGGCCAGAGCAUGGCAGACCCCUGGAGCUGUUUUAUGACAAGAAAAAAGCCUGGAAAUACGUUCCCAACUCACAGAUGACUGAUAUCCAGACCACGAUGGCUGGGCGAGCAUUGGAGCUUCUUGAUCUGCCAGAGAAUAAGCCCUGUUACCUGCUGGAUACUGGCUGUGGAACUGGGCUGAGUGGAGGUUUUCUCUCAAAUGAAGGGCACUAUUGGGUAGGUCUGGAUAUCAGCCCUGCCAUGCAGGAUGAGGCUGUGGACUGAGAUAUAGAGGGAGACCUGCUUUUGGGGCACAUGGGCCAGGGCAUCCAUUUCAAGCCAGGCACAUCCGAUGGUUGCAGCAGCAUUUCUGCUGUGCAGUGGUUCUGUAAUGCUAACAAGAAAUCUGAAUAUCCUGCCAAGCACCUGUACUGCUUUUUAGCUUCUCUUUUUUCUGUUCUUGUCCAGGGAUCCCAAGCUGUCUUGCAGCUGUAACCUGAGAACUCAGAGCUGUUGGGGCUGAUCACAAUACAGGCCACAAAGGUGGGCUCCUCCGGUGGCAUGGUGGUAGACUACCCCAACAGUGCCAAAGCAAAGAAGUUCUACCUCUGCUUGUUUUCUGGGCCUUUGACGUUUAGCCCAGAGGGGCUAAGUGAAAAUCAGGGUAAAGGUGAGCCCAGGGGGUCCAUGUUCACCGAUGAGAGGGUACCAUUCAGGAUUUCCAGGCAGGUAUGGUAAGGAAGAGCUGGGCAUG
RNA transcript from Cebus imitator (Panamanian white-faced capuchin), 773 nucleotides. It is a transcript of the gene named probable 18S rRNA (guanine-N(7))-methyltransferase, with no coding region annotated. The transcript has a single exon. The record is from RefSeq and is a predicted model, not a curated record. Lineage: Eukaryota; Metazoa; Chordata; Mammalia; Primates; Cebidae.